Molecule: ribosomal RNA, 497 nt
Filed under: uncultured bacterium
Lineage: Bacteria
Description: partial 16S ribosomal RNA
Rfam family: Bacterial small subunit ribosomal RNA
Source: RNAcentral
GAUGAACGCUGGCGGCGUGCCUAAUACAUGCCAGUCGAGCGAACGGACGAGAAGCUUGCUUCUCUGAUGUUAGCGGCGGACGGGUGAGUAACACGUGGAUAACCUACCUAUAAGACUGGGAUAACUUCGGGAAACCGGAGCUAAUACCGGAUAAUAUUUUGAACCGCAUGGUUCGAAAGUGAAAGACGGUCUUGCUGUCACUUAUAGAUGGAUCCGCGCUGCAUUAGCUAGUUGGUAAGGUAACGGCUUACCAAGGCAACGAUGCAUAGCCGACCUGAGAGGGUGAUCGGCCACACUGGAACUGAGACACGGUCCAGACUCCUACGGGAGGCAGCAGUAGGGAAUCUUCCGCAAUGGGCGAAAGCCUGACGGAGCAACGCCGCGUGAGUGAUGAAGGUCUUCGGAUCGUAAAACUCUGUUAUUAGGGAAGAACAUAUGUGUAAGUAACUGUGCACAUCUUGACGGUACCUAAUCAGAAAGCCACGGCUAACUACGUG